Molecule: ribosomal RNA, 253 nt
Filed under: uncultured bacterium
Lineage: Bacteria
Description: partial 16S ribosomal RNA
Rfam family: Bacterial small subunit ribosomal RNA
Source: RNAcentral
GACGGAGGGUGCUAGCGUUGUUCGGAAUCACUGGGCGUAAAGGGCGCGUAGGCGGCUGGGACAGUCGGCUGUGAAAGCCCGGGGCUCAACCCCGGAGGUGCAGCCGAGACUGCCCGGCUGGAGGCCGGAAGAGGAGGGUGGAAUACCCAGUGUAGAGGUGAAAUUCGUAGAUAUUGGGUGGAACACCGGUGGCGAAAGCGGCUCUCUGGUCCGGUCCUGACGCUGAGGAGCGAAAGCGUGGGGAGCAAACAGG